GAACAGCUACAAAGUUUAGCUGGAAAGCGUGAUUGGUUCGGUCCAGGCAGCAGAAUUCUAAUAACAACGAGAGAUAAACAGUUGUUGGUGGCGCAUGAAGUGGAUGAAGAGCAUAUUCUGAACCUUGAUGUACUAAAUAACGAUGAAGCUAUUCAACUCCUUAGUAUGAAAGCUUUUAAAACCCAUCAGCCUGUGCAAGAGUAUGUGGAGCUGUCUGAACAUGUUCUGGAGUAUGCUGGUGGUCUUCCAUUAGCUCUAAAAGUGUUGGGAUCCUUUCUAAUUGGCAGAUCUGCGGAUCUAUGGAGAAGUACCAUAUGGCGUGUUUGGUAAAAUCUUUUAGGGCAUACGAAGAAGAUGAAGAAAAAGCUGUUGACAGGUAAUUUUUGUCAAAUUAAAAAGUUAUCGUGAUUUUUAUUUUUAUAUUUUAUUUUUGUCCAAAUCAAUAAAUUUCUCGGAAAUUACUUGUGGUGUAAUGUAACCAACACAACAAUGAAUGACGUAAGACGCGACGCAUGCUCCUUUCAAAAGUUACAGCAAACCGUAUACAAGAAAUUCAACCGGAUCCCAUCAUUUAAUUAUUAAUAAAUACACAAUUUGCUAUUGUCAAGCAAAUUGUUGUCCCUUUGACAAAAUUUACCAAGUUUAGUUAUAUUGGUGCACAUUUUCAACAUAUACAUAAUAAAUGCAUUCCCCACAAAUAAUAAGUUCAUUAUAACAAUUACAUUUCAUAUUAUCAUUCAACACAAGCUCCAAGAGAAGAUCUUCAUUUCAUUCAUCACCAUUAGCACUCAUCCAGCAUAAUGCCUACAAUAAUGAUUAAAAUUAAUAUUUUUCAAAGAAUAAUACUUUUCAAAUACUAAUCUAAAGAAAAAAUUAUAAUAAUGAAAUAAUUCUUGCAUUAAGUUAAAGAAAAAUAGUUCACACAAAAUUAAAAUAAGUAUAAAAUAAUAUGUAAUCAUAUAAGUUAAUUGAUAGCAUUAACUGGUUGACUUAUACUUAGUAGGCAUUUUCAUUUCAUCAAGUUAGUUUAUAAAAUUUUGACAUGAACAUUUUAGUUUUGUGAAGCCCAUCAUUUUGAAGGGAUCUUGUCACUUAUUUUGGUUCUAAAUUUUUAAGAUCAAAUAUAAUGGCCUCCAUGACCAUGAGCAUCCAAAAAGGAAUCAUCGUAAUCUUACUGAUGUUAGUCAAAGAAUUUGCUUUAGCUUUAAUGGUGAAAAAGGCAUCCAAAGCUUCAUCAUUGGGUUUAGGGAUGACAACUUAAUCAAAAUCUGGAUAAACCCAGAUGAUCCGAGUUGGGUUUAAUGCUAAAACAAUACAGAUCUGACAGUAAUAUUUUAAACCCGUACAUAUCUUAUUUCGGUUUCACGUUUAACUGAACCCAGAAAUCGAUCUGGAUAUUUUUUAUUUUAAAAUUCAUUAAAUAAUUAGUUUUUGGUUAUUAAUUAAUUUAAUUUUAAGUAUAAAAGAAAAAACAAUUGGAAAAAUAACCCUAAAGGCCUAAACAUACUGCAGCCCCCAUUUAUCCUCUCCCCUUUUCUUCUUAAUGAUAUUUUUGGGUUGGAUCAAUUUAAAAAAUCGUCCAUUAUUGGGAUUUGAAAGUUGAUGAAGCUUAACAAACUAUUAGUUUUGGUCUAUUUAACGCAUAUUAGCAAGUACUUCACUUUACCAAUUUAAUAUGCCGCCAUUAUAAUAGUAAAAAUUUUCUUUUACCAUUAUAGAAUCUUGACUGUUCUUGACUACAGUAACCCAAAAUUGAUAUUAUAUUUUUAAAAAUAAAUAUAAAUAUAGUAUUAAUAUAAAUGAAAUAAAUAUGCUUUUGGGAUAGAAGCCAGUGGAAUGGCUGCUGUGAUGAUGAGGAACCACAGCCUCAAAGAUGAACUCAAAUAAUGGGGAAAGGCUAUUUAUUAUUCUCUGAAUUUAUCAGUAAGCAUGCAUCUCAAAUUUUUUUUUUUUUUUUUUACAUAUGGUAAUUCAUUGACAUCGUAUUUAUUCAAAAAUCUGUUAUAAACCAGUUAAGGGUAGUGACGUGGCAUUGAUGAGCUGUCUUGAUUGGUGUCCAAGUUUGUUAACCGUGGUUAGCAGCAUUUAUAAAUAAAAGCGGGGGCUGUAUAGAAACUGGAGCAGUGAAAAUUCAGCCCAAUCCUUUCGACAAGCAACAAAAACUUCGAUGGGUAGGCUGUUGGGGUGGAGCAAGAGGGAAUUUAGAAAGCAUGACAGAAAAUUGGAGAAGCUGAAGUUUCAGCUGAGGGAGUUAAAACAAAGAAGGGUGCAAUUUGUAGAUGGUGAGGAAAUUCGGAAGGUGGAGAAGCAAAUUCAAAAUAUUCUCAUGGAUGAAGAAAUCUACUGGAAGCAACGUUCAAGAGCAGAUUGGCUCAAGGAGGGGGACAAAAACACAAAAUUUUUUCACGGCAAAGCGACGGCAAGAAGAAAAAAAACAGAAUUUGGGGGAUUGAAGAUAAUUUCGGGAGAUGGAUUGAGGAGCCAAUCGAAGUAGAGCAUGAGUUUUGCAACUAUUUCACCAAGCUUUUUACAUCAACCCAGCCGAGACAAGAUCAAAUUGCAGCAGCUUUGGAAGGAAUAACUCCAAGAGUUUCAGCCAGUAUGAAUGAGAGUCUGGGGGCACCUUUUACAGCCGAGGAAGUGUUGGAAGCGCUGAGCCAAAUGUGCCCAACAAAGGCUCCAGGGCCGGAUGGUUUGCCAGCCGUGUUUUACCAAAAGCAUUGGCAUUCGGUCAAGGAGGGAGUGCUCACCACUUGUCUGCAUAUCCUUAAUUCACAAGGUACCAUAGGCCCUCUAAACCACACUUACAUUGCUUUGAUACCAAAAAAAAAAAAAUAAAUCAAAGCGGGGGCUGAUUUAUUGGCAAUCUUUAAGGUAAAAUGAUAAACACACCCCCAAUAUUAAGAUAAACAGAUAAAAAUUCUCCUAAUGUUUAAAAAAAAGAUAUUUAUAUCUCAUUCAUUAUAAUUUUAAUAUGUAAUUAUCAUUAUACCCUUCUAACAUAUAAAAAAAAAUUGUUAGAUUCCAAUUUGUUCAUACAUUAUUAAUAAAAUUAUAAAUAUACCAUCUUUGCCCCAUUCUUCUACUUAAACUUUUUAUCAAUAAUCAAUUUUUAAAAAAGACAUCUACAUACUUAAAAACAAAUUGUAAAUAAAUUAUAAAUUUAAAAAUAAAAUUGGUUAUUAAUACGAUAAUAAAUAACAUAGAAAAUUAGUUAUAAAUGUACAAGUUUAAAUGAUUGACAUGUGGAGAAUUGUUAAAUAUAAAAAUUUAAAGUUUAAAUAAAAUUGGGUAUUAAUACCAAUUUUAUUUUUAAAAUUAUAAUUUAUUUACUAUUUUUUUAGGUGUGUAGAUGUCUUUUUUAAAAAUUAGUUAUUGAUAAAAAUGUAAAUAGAGGAAUGAGACAAUGAGGAUAUAUUUAUAAUUUUAUUAAUAAUAUAUGAAUAAAUUGGAUAAUCUAAUAAUUUUUUUAUAUGUUAAAAUGAUACAAUAGUAAUUAUAUAUUAAAAUUAUAAUGAAUGGUGCACUAUCUUUUUUGAAACAUUAAGAAAAUUUUUGCCUAUUUAUCGAAACGUUCGGGGUGUGUUUAUUUUUUUCCCAAUUUUUAAUGUGACCGUUUGUAGGCGAAGAGUAAAAAGAGUGUUAUUGAACUCACUCUCUUCCUUGUCAUUUCCUCUGUGAUUUUAACAUAAAAUCCUCCAUUAAUAAUAUCUCUUCAAGCCAUUAUCGGCCAUGGAUGUAGGUGUAGGAUUUGAAUAAUAUACCUAUAAUUAAAUGUACUUCUGUGAUUUUCAGAGAAUUUUUACGGGUUUAAAUAAGUGAAACUAGGGAUUGAGGCUAUAAUGCUUGGGGGCAAAUGUUGAGGAUUUUAGGAAGAAUAAAAAAAAUAUGUAUAUGAUCGAUCUCAGCUUGAUUUAGCUUCAGAACAAACAAAAAUAGACAAAGGAAUGAUUAAAUAGAAUUUGCAGGCCAGGUUCAAGAGAGACAUUGUUGAGGAAUUAUGGUAUAAUUCUCAUGCCUAGGACGUGUUCGAUAAUAUGCCCAAGAAGGAAAGUGCAUCCCACCUGGUGUGUUGCAUCUUCUCUGUGAUUUCCCAAGCAAAAGCAAUCAAUCAAUAAGGUCAAUUUGUGAAGGUCUGGGGGCAGACAACGGAGGCCAAAAAGCAGAAUGAUUUCAACUUUGUGGAAAAGAGUGCAGUUGAGACAGUAACAAGGUUAGCAGAAGCAAAAAUUGCAGCGAGGGAUGUCGCACGAUCGCGAAACUAUGAUAUUGAUAUACCCCCUUGCUCAUGUGGUUUACAAACUUCAUAAUAUCCUUUAUAACAUGCAAUACUGUUUUACUUGUAUGUGCAUUCCUUUCAGUGUUGUUCGAGAGAAUGAUUCAGAUUCAUGCAACAAGAAUGUGGAUGAGGGCGGCUAGCAAUGAAUAGCAGAACUGAUCUAGGUAUCAAAAUCAUGAGUCUCAAGCAUUCUGAGAACCUCAUAAGGACACCAGACUUCACAGGGGUACCAAAUUUGGAGGAUCUGAUUCUCGAAGAAUGUACAAGGUUGCGUGAGAUACACUCAUCUUUGCUGCUUCAAAGAAGCUGAUUUUGUUAAAUUUGAAAGGUUGUGCAAAUCUUACAACUCUUCUAGGCAAGAUUUUUAAGAAAUCUCUUAAGACACUUGUUCUUCCUGGUUGCUUGAAAUUGAAGAAAUUUCCAGACAUUGUGGGAAGUUCUUUUGGAUGGAACUGGUAAGAUUUCAACUGUGGAACAGAAUGCAGUUAAAACAGUAACAAAGUCAGCAAAAGCAAAAUUUGCUAAGGUACUUUACAAAAUUCAUAAUUUCCUUUAGAACAAGAAAUACCGUAUUACUUCUAUGUGCAUUCCUUUCAAUGUUGUUCUACUGUAAUAUGGAAGAUGAAUGUAAAUAAGGGCAGCAAGCUAUCUACGACAGCAGCAUCAGCUUGCUCACUUGGCCGCCAUAGGCUGAUUCAAACGGCAAAAGCCAUGCCGAAAAGUCAAAUCAAAUAACAGCAAAUUCACAUCCUAGGUGGCCUUUUCUUCCUGCUCAGUCACUCAUCAGUUUUGAGAGCAGGUUCGUUCUAUAAUAAUCUAAUAUGCACAUAUCAUGAUCUGUAAUUCUUUAUGCUAUCAUGCUUUUAUGAUUUGUUUACUUCUGCCACAGUGCCAUACACACUCACAGAUUCACUAUAACAAGGUUUCUCUAUUUUGCAUGGCUACAAUACAUUUCAGUAGAAAUUAAUUUCUGAAUAUGCUCUUAUCCUUUAUUAAUCAUGUAAAAAGUUCAGACGUCAGGCUAUAUGAUUAUUUACAGCUGCCUUGCGGAUGGAUUCGUAAUCUUAAUAAGUAAUAUUAUCAAAAAAAUUUAGAUUUGCUGAUCUAUAUUCAUCAAUUGCAUACAACUGUAGCAUUUACUUGAUUUUAGAGCCUGGUUGGUCGUAGAAUGAAUAAUGCAUUGACAAAUACAGAAAUGAUCAAAAUACAAGCCUCACAAGUUGCUAUGUCAUUGUUGAAUGAUGAUUCAAAUUCGUUAUGUUUAUUAGUUUUUGUUUGGGCGGGAAAUUCAGAUGCUCAAGCGGCUGACGUGGACUACAUUAACAAGUUUUAUCUGAGUUUGACUCUCCUCGACCAAUUCUUUGUAUAAAAAAUCUGAAAAAUAACUUACAACUUGUGAGGCUUGUAACCAAAAGAUGCCUAAAACCAAUUAUUUCUAAGGGAAAUGGACGGCCUUCUUCCCAAGCUUUAAGCAACUUCAAAGAAAAAUUUCAAGCCUUCAACCUUUACUUUCCAAUCUUUAUUUAUUUUAAUGAGAAAAUACUAUAAUUAAAAAAAAAAAAUGAACAAUCUUUAUUUAUUUUAAUGAAAAAAAUACUAUAAUUUUUUUAAAAAAAAUGAAAGAUUGUAGUGGAAUUAUUCCAAAAAAUAUUUUACUCAUUUUUCCCUAAAAAAUGCAAUUACAUUUAAAGAUGCCCUUUAUAAAAUACAUAAAGAAAUCAUUGCUUUUGGUGUGUUAGUAGGGAUGGCAAUGGGGUGGGGUGGGGGUGGGGAGGCCUACCCCAUUCCCCACCCUGUUAGAAAUUUUUGCCUCCAUUCCCCACCCCAUUCCCCAAUAAAUUUAGUGGGGUGGGGAUGGAGAAUCCCCAUGUGGGGAAUGAUUUUCCCAUCACCACCCCAUUUCCCAUUUAUCUAUUUUAUAAUAUGUAUAAAUACAUUAUUUUAGUAAGUUAAAAAUUAGAGACUUAAAAUAAAAUCAUCAUCAUAUUAUAAAGUAUUUAAAUUCUUUUAAAAAAAUAUCUAAAAGUUUGAAAACCAAACCCCACCCCAUUAAGAAUUUGGGGAUUAUUUUCCUCCCACUCCCCAUCCCAUUUCCCAAAAAUUAUUCAAAAUUUUUCCCAUUUGGGGUGGGGCUCCAUGGGGCCCCAAACCCGUAGAGGAUUUUGCCAUCCAUAUGUGUUAGAUUAUUAAAGCUAGCUUUUGUCAACAUCAGAUAGGAUUGUUAAAGCUAGCUUUUGUCAACAUCAGAUAGGAUUUCGUUCAGAUUCCUUGAAGCUUCCAGGAAGUUUGAUGCGACCUUCAUCGUGUGAGUAACCGGUCACUUUUGGACCAAGACUUGCGAAAGGAGGAUCCAUUUUCUUAGAACUUUUUAAAGCAAUUGAAGAAGAAUUUCGAUUAUUUUUCUGUAAAAGAACUACUCUUUUUCUACUUGGUGUUUGGAUGAACUUGUUAGGAUUGUUAAAUGCAUAAACAGAAAGGAUCAAAUUUUUUUCAAUUUUCUAUGAUGUGAAACCAACUGUUGUAAUAAUAUGCAAUCGGAAAGCUUAAGGCAAAGACUUAAUACUAAUAUUAAAGAUAAAUCUACACAAUCCGACGCAAGUGAUUGCGACUGAAUUCCUCAGGGUUGCAUCUUCAUAGUCAAUGAGUUAAUUAUUACAAAUUAUUAGAACAUUAGCGGAUGAAGACAUGAUUACACUCGAACAAGGCCGAGUGGCGAAGACGUGUAAUACAAUUAAAGAGAGUUAUCAUUAAGAGGAAGUCAAUGAGGAGCUGGAAACUGUGUACACGCUUCUGCUUUCCCUUGAAAGAUAGAUCCACAAAGAAAAUUUUAUGAUACCGUAAUUAAUUACGGUAUUAAAAUAUAAUAAACAUAAAUUUUAUAAAUUAUAUAUAAGAUUAAUAAAUAAAAAAUAAAAUAAGUAAAUUAAUGUAAAAGCAGUAAAUUAGUGUUUUAAAAUAGAAAAUAAAACAAAUACUUGUAAAGUAGCCUAAAACUUACACAUCAACAUUAAACUUUAAUUUAAUUAAGCAAAAACAUCACUAAUUAAGCAAAGAAAAAAUAACUCAUUAAUUGAAUACAAAAAAAAAUUGUAUUGAAAAUAAUAAAAAUAAGUUUUAUUUAAUUGGUUUAACCACAAAUUCUAUAUUCAUCAUAUGAAAUCCAUAACUUUUUCUUUUUCAUUUUCUAUCAUAGUAUUUAUUUACUAUAAAGGUUAAUUAAGUAAAAUUAUUUUUCUUGAUGUGGGUCAAGCCAAAAAGAAAACAAAAAGAUAUUUUUAUAUUUUUAGAAAUAUAUGAUAUAUCAAUAAAAUUGGAUCUAAUUUCUAUUUUUAUACAUUUUCAAACUUUAUUUCUUGUACUUAAAGAUCAUUGGGGAUUAUUACCGAAGAGGUUUAGAAAGAUGUAAAAUCAUCUUUUCUUACAAACAGCCUUGAAAAACAUGAAAAAAAUAUUUUUAUUCUUAAUAAAAUUUCACACAUAUCAUCACAUGUAUUACAUAAAUCCAAAAUUAUCGUUAUUCAGUUUAGAAACAAAAUCAGUAAAUAUAUAAGGUAGUCACUAUUAUAAUGAGCUUUUUAUUUAUAUUUGUAUUUUUUUUUCAAUAAUUCUUAUAUUAGUUUACUUUUGACUUGGUAUAUCCGUAUUUCUAAGAGAAAUGGACAGCCAUAAACCUUUCUUACCAAGCUUUAAGCACCUUCAAAUAAAAUGUCAAGCCUUUAACCUUUAGUUUCCAAUCUUUACUUAUUUUAAUGAGAAAUUCUACAAUUAAAAAAAAAAUGAAAGAUUGUAGUGGAAUUAUUCCAAAAGAAUAUUUUAUUCUUUUUCCCCAAAAAAAAAACUGCAAUUACAUAGAAGAUGCCCUUAAUAAAAUACAUAAAGAAAUCCUUUCUUUCGGUGCGUAGAUUAUUGAAGCCAGCUUUUGUCAACAUCGAAUUGACCAUGUCUUUUCUGCUAAAAACCAAAAUCAUUCUUCAUUAUUACUUUCGACACACACUUUAGACUAAACUUCUUGUUUGAGAAAUUAAUUAGAACACAUGAAAAUCUUCUUAUUGAUUUCUCUUAGACAAAUUUAAUUGGAAAUUCAGGUAAAAAUUUAUCAUGUUUUAGUGCUUCCUAUAAGUUCAAUUAAGUGGCUUCCUGCAAUACACUCAAAAGCUGUAAGUUUUUUUCUUAUACAUAUUUCUCUUUUAUUUUCAGAAUUAAUCUGUAUAUCUUGAUGUUUAAUUAAUUGUUAAUAUCAACUGUUGGAUUCCAUUCCAUUUUAAUGGAGUGCAAUGGUUUCAACAUGGGUAACGGGCAGAGUGGCGAAGCCGCUUAAUCAAUCAUUUACAGUUUUACAACAGUUUGAGAAUAAAAUUUACUAAACACAUACGACUAUUUUUAAAAUUUACAGAACUUUUAAAAGUAAAUUUAUCAAACGUUUAAUUAAUUACCUUUACAAAUAAUUAUUUAUACAACACAGUUUAUGACAAUUAUCGUAAAACUACAACAUUAUUAAAUUGAUCCAACAUCUCCUAAAGACUCAGAUGAAAUUUUACUAAUAAAAAGUUUCGAAUAAAAGAUUUACCAUUCCUAUAGAUUGCCGACAAUUUAACUAUUUUUAUCAAUUAUUGAUGUCAACCGUUGGAUUCCAUUCCAUUUUAAUGAAAUCCAACGUGGCUAAUGGGCAGAGUGGCGUGGACGCGUCAUCAAUUGAAAAGCCAGAUAAUCUUCGCUCAGUUUCCUUGAAGCUUCCAGCAAGUUUGAUGGUAACUCCAUCAUGUGAGUAAACAGUGACAAUGUCUAUGAAUUAUUAAGAAAGUCACUUUUUGACGAAGACUUGCUUUUGGAAAUACAUACAUAUUUGCUGAUUGCUUUUCUUUUUUUUCCAAAAGAAUAUAUUUGCAUGAUUAAAUUCUUUGAAUCAAAUACUGCAUUGGAGUUCAUUUAAGUGGCUUUCUGCAAUACACUCAAAAGCUGUAAGUUCUAUCUCAUACAUCUCUCUCUUUUACUUUCAUAAUUAAUUUGCAUAUCUUGAUGUUUAAAAACAAAUAAAUAAUGAUAAAAUUGAAAGAAAUCUUUUAAUGUUAAUUUGGCACAAACUCUUUGCCUUCUCUAAGAGGCUUUAAUCAAGAUUUUCUCAAGUAGAGAUCGGUGUACGCACUCUCCAAUCGGCACUUGAAAAAAUUUUGGGAUUUAAUAUUAUAAUUCUAUUUAUUACAAAUGUUUCUAAUAGAUAUUGUUACAUUUAUUUAAUAUCAUAUUUAUAUUAAUUAUAAAACAUUGAAAUUAAUUUUUUUGAGUUAUUAGAGCUAAAUGGUAUCAUAGUCAAAAGAGGAUUUUAGUGUUUCUUAUUGAAAAUAUGCCAUCUAAGUGUCAUUUUACCUAAAUUUAAAUAAGAUAUUUAAAUCAAAUAAUAAAAUUAAAUAUAAAUAAAUCCAUAUAAUAUGAAUUUAAUAAAUUAAAUAUAAAUAAAUCCAUAUAAUAUGAAUUUAAUAUAAAUAAUUGCUUACUUUUGUACUUUUAUGAUAUAAAAUCAUUUUUAUUAUUUUACUUUUAUUAUGUAAAAAUAAUUUUAAUCAAUUAUUUUAUUACCUAACACAUUUAUAAUUUACUCUUUUUUUAGAGAGAUUUAUAAUUUACUUAAAUAGAAAUAGUACUACUUCAUUAAUGAAUUUUUUAUUUUAAUAAUGAAUUUAACCAAUAAAUUUAAUAAAAUAAUAUUAUAAAAAAAUUUAGAUAAACAAGAUCAUGAAUAUACCGCACUAAAUAUGGCACUGUUUUAAAGGUUAAUGUAAUAUUGCUACGCAAUAAAGCUCAAGAAAUAUAAUUAAGUAUUAUUUAUUAAUAAAUUUUUAAAUUUUAUUUGUCAAAUAAUAAAUUUUGAUAAUAAUAUUAGUAUAAAAUAUUUCAAUAAACACUAUUGUACAUACUACACUAAAACAUAGUACUGCGAUAUAAUGUAGUGCACCAAACACUCCCUACGCUAUUUUCAAAAUUUUCAGAACAAAUUAAUAUUGUGAUGGCUUCAUCGAGCAUUCAAAAUGUGUCUCAUUGGCCAUAUGAUGCCUUCUUAAGCUUUAGAGGAGCAGACACCCGUAAAAGCUUCAUAAGUCAUCUCUAUGCUGCUUUGAAUGGAAAAGGAAUUUAUGUAUUCAAGGAUGACAAAGAACUUGAGAGAGGAGCAUCCAUUUCACCUGGACUUCUUAAGGCAAUUGAAGAUUCUAGAAUUUCAAUUAUUGUUUUCUCUCAAAACUAUGCUUCCUCCACUUGGUGCUUGGAUGAACUUGUUAAGAUUGUUCAAUGCAAGAACAAAAACGAUCAUCAACAAAUGGUUUUUCCAAUUUUCUAUGAUGUUGAACCCACUGUGGUAAGGAAACAAACGGGAAGUUUUCGAGAAGCUUUUGCUAAACAUGAAGAAGCUUUUAGGGAGAAUCUAGAAAAAGUGAAAAAUUGGAGAGACUCUUUGAAAGAGGUGGCUAAUAUUUCUGGCUGGGAAUUGAACGAGUACAGGUAGCCAUUCUUAUUAUUAUGUAGAUCAUUUGAAAUAGCUUUAAUCAGCAUACUGUUGUCAAUUAAACAACUUUUAUUCAAUAUGUGUUUCUAUUACUAAAUUUAUUUAAUACCGCAUUCAGACUCACUGUAAUUUAACCAUACUGAUCUUUCUUUGUUCUUUAACUGUAGGAAUGAGUCAGAAUUUAUUUGGGAUAUUGUCAAGGCGAUAUCAAGUAAAAUUGCUGUAAAAUCAGAGACUCUUAAGAAUCUAGUGGGAAUAGAUUCACGCUUGGAAGAACUGAGGUCUCUUAUGAACAAAGGGCCUAAUGAUGAUGUUCGUAUGAUAGGGAUUUGUGGUAUGGGAGGUUUAGGUAAGACGACUCUUGCAAGAGUUGUUUAUGACUUGAUCUCUCAUGAAUUUGAAGGGAGUAGUUUUCUUGCCGAUGUUAGAGAAAAAUUUGAAAACAAAGGCAGUGUAAUCUCUUUUCAAAGGCAACUCCUUUUCGAAAUAUUGAAGCUCGAAAAAGAUAGCAUAUGGAAUGUCGGUGAUGGCAUCAACAUUUUAGGAAGCAGGCUGCAACACAAAAAGGUUCUUCUUGUUAUUGAUGAUGUGGUUGACAUAAAGCAAUUAGAGUAUUUAGCUGGAAAGCGUGAGUGGUUUGGUUCAGGCAGUAGGAUCGUUGUAACAUCGCGAGAUGAACAUCUAUUAAAGACACAUGGAAUGGAUGAAAUAUAUAAGCCUAAUGAACUAAAUUACCAUGAUGCUCUUCAACUUUUCAACAUGAAAGCUUUUAAAAUCCAAAAGCCUCUUGAAGAAUGUGUGCAGCUGUCAGAAGGUGUUCACCGGUAUGCCGGUGGUCUUCCAUUAGCUCUCGAAGUUUUGGGUUCCUUUUUGAAUGGUAGAUCCGUGGAUCAAUGGAGAAGCACCUUGGAAAGGCUACAAAUAGAUCCUCCCAAUAAGAUUAUGAGUAUACUUCAAAUAAGUUUUGACGGACUACAAGAAUUAGAGAAGAAAAUAUUUCUCGAUAUUGCAUGUUUCUUUAAACGGAAGACUAAAGAUUAUGUAUCGAAAAUUCUCGACAGCUGUGGUUUUGAUAUCGGAAUUAGUGUCCUUAUAGAAAAAUCUUUAUUAACAGUACGUGAGAAUAACAGACUGUGGAUGCAUGAUUUGAUACAAGAAAUGGGUCGCCAAAUUGUUAGGAGACAAUCCCCCGACGAGCCUGGAAAACGUAGUAGAUUGUGGAAGGAAGCAGAUGUACACCAUGUAUUGUCACAAAAUACAGUAAGUGAAUAAUAAAGGGGAUCUAAAAGUAUUUAUUUUCCAGCUCAGCUCACUUCUUUUAGCUACUUAACUCUCUAACGAACGACUUUGUUUAUAAUUUUCAGGGAAGUGAAAUAGUUGAAGGAAUAAUGGUUGAUGAUUAUUUCUUUCGUGGAAAUGAUGUGCAUUUAAGUGCUAAAGCAUUUUCACUGAUGACCAACCUAAGAUUGCUCAAAAUCAGUAAUGUUCAACUUCCUUAAGGCCUAGAAUACCUCUCGAACAGGUUGCGAUUACUUGAUUGGCAUCGGUAUCCUUUGAAAUAUUUGCCAUCAAAUCUGCAAUUGGAUAAAAUUGUUGAAUUUAAAAUGCAUUCAGGCUAACUGUAAUUUAACCAUACUGAUCUUUGUUUGUUCUUUAACUGCAGGAGUGAGUCGGAAUUUAUUUGGGAUAUUGUCAAGGCGAUAUCAAGUAAAAUUGCUGUAAAAUCAGAGACUCUUAAGAAUCUAGUGGGAAUAGAUUCACGCUUGGAAGAACUGAGGUCUCUUAUGAACAAAGGGCCUAAUGAUGAUGUUCGUACUACCCUCUUUAAAAUAUUUGUUAAUUCUCUAAUUAAUAUACUAUAAUAAAAGAUGAUCUAUCUGAUAAUUAAGUAACCACUACUCUACAAAAUUAUUCAAUUUUAUAGAAUCAAAUAUUAGGCAUAUAUUGCUGCUCAGUUUUUUUUUUAAAAAAUGUUAAAUGUUAAAUUAUUAAAACUUUAUUUAAAAAACAUUUUGAAAGCCCAGGCUUGCCCGGUCCAUCCCGUCCAAAAUGGACAAGCCUAUAGAGGCCGCACUACAAGAAGAUUAUUGGAAAAUCGCUGUAAAAAAGAUUUUCGCAGCAUUAGCUUUUAGUUUUCUGCGACCUCUUACAAUGCAAAAAGGGUUUCCUUUUGAUUUUGAUGCUGUAGUCUUUUUGCUGCGUUACUUCCUGCAAGAAGAAGAUUACCAGGUUUCCCCCUCAAUAAAGGACUUAUAUACCAUUCUAGAACUGAAAUAUGAAUUAAUUAUCAUGUUAGAAUACUAUAAUAGGUCAUAACAGAGGAAACAAAGAAAAGAUGCUAAAAUGUUGAAGAUGAACUGAUAAACUAAAAGGAGACAACAAACGUUAUUUUUACCUUUAGGAUUCCACUAUCAUUCCAAGUGGCAAUUAUUUCAUCCAUGCACGAGUAACUGACAGAAAAUCAUACGAAAUCCCAUCAGGGACAACAGAGACCAUCUCCACCAAGAGCUUUCCAUAAUUUACUUGCAACACCAGUAUCAUUUCUCAUAUCCACUUUGGUACUCACUGGAAGUCGGUCACUCAAUAACAAGCCAGAAUGAAUUAAAUAUAUAACAAACCAAAAUCAGAUCACAAAACAAAUUUCUCAUGUACAGGUCACAUUUUUUGUGCUGUAAUAUACGGAGGCACAUUGAAGUUUAAUCUUAUGUCUCCCACGAGUGAGAACCGUUGGACGUAUGCAAUCUCUUGUCACGGACAUAUUAAAACUCCAAGUUACAGCUGGAUGCAAAAUAAGAAGAUAUGGAUAGAGGUCAAUUGGGCUCAGAGUUCCAUAUGUAAUCACAAAUUACUGGAACCGGUAAAAAAAAAAAAAAACAAAAUACAGGCUUAGUAAUGAGUGAAGCAUCAUGGCAGCUAAGCUACACUCCAAACAUUAUACAAAAAAGAAAAAACAUAAAAAGAUCAAUAGAGAUUUUAACAUAAACAUUAAAGCUUGUGAAACAUAGAUGACACGAUACCGAUAUGCACAACUUAUACUGCAGAAGCCAUAAUUUUGCAUCACCAAGUGGAAGAUGAAAACUCCUUUUCCCUAGCGAAAAGAAUGAUAUUGAAUCCAAUCACAUAUGUUAUUAGGCCAAUCAACAAAAAGUUUUCACCUGUAGAAUGUCGACGCUGGGACAAAUCACCAUUUCCCUUCCUUUUAUGGAUCAUUCAGUCUCACCAGAAUCAACCGACAUUAUAUGAGCAGAAACAAUUUCAUAUCGUUGAGUUACUGGGAACAAUAUUAAUACUCAAUGCCUGAGGAAUGUAGCCUUUAAUAUUCAUGCCCAGGCUUUAAAAUGGCCUACAGGUCCUCGUCUUGCAUUACACGAUUCGACUCAUUCGUAUCGCAGUUCGAUGCCGGCUCAGUCAAGCACCCGGCUGAUGACUAGUUGCCAAUCUUUACUAACCAGACCAACGGCGGUGGGACGAAGUUUUCGAGUUGAAUCUGGUACAGGAUAAUUUUCUUCAAUGGCAAAUAAUUUAAGUGCAUUUUAGGUUAAUAUCAUCACAUAAUUUUUACUUCAUAAUUUUUUUUUAUAAGAAAUUAUAACUUUUAAUCAGUCAAUGAAGUGAAUACAUUCAUGAUUUUUAUUGGAAAUGAAACCAACCAAACAACAAUUUAAAAAUUAUCUAAAGUUAAUUUAGCUAAAGAAUUGGCAAUUGCAUUACAAGAUCUUGGAAUAUGUUGAAAUUUAACGUUGCGGAGAUCUUUAGUUUUAUCUUGAAUCUCUGAAAGGACCCAAUAAAUCUCAUUCUUCCUGCCCUUCCUGUUGUAAAUUAAAUCAGCCACCAUUUGAGAAUCAGUUUCAAUAAUUAAUGAAGCUAGAGCUGCAUUUUUGGCCACCUGUAAUCCCCAGCUUUCAGCUUCUGCUUAUGCAUAUGCUACAUCCCUAAAAAACUUUGAGGUCUUGAUAGCAGCAGCCAUGACAUUUCCAGUUGAAUCCCUGAUCAAUACUCGCAGGCCUGACAUUUGUUUUUCACUAUUUAUGGCAGCAUCAACAUUCACUUUGAACCAGUUUUGUGGUGGGGGUUGCGACACUUUGGGUUUCUUCUUCUCCUUAGGGUCUCUAAGAAUCAAUCCUGUAACUUUUAUUCUAUGAUAAGCCUCUAUCAAUGAUUCCUCCUUUACCACUGACAUCUGCGGAUCCAGCGUCUUAGCUUCAAACAAGCACUUGUUCCUUGGCUGCGUGUCUUGCCUACCGACGGGUAUGUUUUUGCAAUUUCGUUUGGAAAGCAAUUCGGUCAGGCUGUGUCAGACCAUCUUUUCCUAUACUACAUGAAGUGUGAAAAUAUUAGUAAAGUGAAAUUUGAUUCGCCGUCGGGAUUGGAGUUGAAGAGGUGUGGUUUGCAUCCAAUCUAUGUGCAUGAAGGGGAUAAGUUCAACCAAACAAUUGGUCCGGUUUGGAGAUUGAACGAAUUCGGUCACGAUUGUUCUGGAUCAACAUCCUUUACGCGUAGCCUUAAUGAUGACUUAGACAGGGCAGAAGCCAGUGGAAGUUGCUGCCAGGAUGAUGCAGGAUCAACGACGUCGUCUGAGCGAAGCUUUCUAAAGCGAAGUCUUGAAGGAUAUGUUGGGGCGGCUGAAGCUAGUGGAAGUGGCUGCUGUAAUGAUGAUGAGGAACCACAACCUAAAAGAUUUAGACAACUCGAAUGAAGGGCACAUAUUUUAUUUUUCUCUGCAGAUCGCAUUUCAUUUACUUUCAUUGUAUUUAUUUAUUGUAUCUGUUCUUGUUACCAGAAAAUGCCUGGCUUGGGUCAAACAGUUGGACAGAUGUUUUAUUACUCUGUUUUUUUCUGCUUUGUUUUAUUACUCUGUUUUUCCUGCNNNNNNNNNNNNNNNNNNNNNNNNNNNNNNNNNNNNNNNNNNNNNNNNNNNNNNNNNNNNNNNNNNNNNNNNNNNNNNNNNNNNNNNNNNNNNNNNNNNNNNNNNNNNNNNNNNNNNNNNNNNNNNNNNNNNNNNNNNNNNNNNNNNNNNNNNNNNNNNNNNNNNNNNNNNNNNNNNNNNNNNNNNNNNNNNNNNNNNNNNNNNNNNNNNNNNNNNNNNNNNNNNNNNNNNNNNNNNNNNNNNNNNNNNNNNNNNNNNNNNNNNNNNNNNNNNNNNNNNNNNNNNNNNNNNNNNNNNNNNNNNNNNNNNNNNNNNNNNNNNNNNNNNNNNNNNNNNNNNNNNNNNNNNNNNNNNNNNNNNNNNNNNNNNNNNNNNNNNNNNNNNNNNNNNNNNNNNNNNNNNNNNNNNNNNNNNNNNNNNNNNNNNNNNNNNNNNNNNNNNNNNNNNNNNNNNNNNNNNNNNNNNNNNNNNNNNNNNNNNNNNNNNNNNNNNNNNNNNNNNNNNNNNNNNNNNNNNNNNNNNNNNNNNNNNNNNNNNNNNNNNNNNNNNNNNNNNNNNNNNNNNNNNNNNNNNNNNNNNNNNNNNNNNNNNNNNNNNNNNNNNNNNNNNNNNNNNNNNNNNNNNNNNNNNNNNNNNNNNNNNNNNNNNNNNNNNNNNNNNNNNNNNNNNNNNNNNNNNNNNNNNNNNNNNNNNNNNNNNNNNNNNNNNNNNNNNNNNNNNNNNNNNNNNNNNNNNNNNNNNNNNNNNNNNNNNNNNNNNNNNNNNNNNNNNNNNNNNNNNNNNNNNNNNNNNNNNNNNNNNNNNNNNNNNNNNNNNNNNNNNNGAGAGAAAGCGACGGGAGCCACCGAGAUAGAGGGAGUGAAGGCGACGGGAGCCACCGAGAGCCAGGACAACAGAUCUGAGCUGUUGGGUAGCGCACCCAACGUUAGCGAAGUGGUGGGUGCAAAUUAACUUCCAAAGGUGCUCAUUUUGAGUGUCUUGUGCCAUAGCUUGUUGACGCAAGGCCGCCUGCAACGACGUCCUGGUGUCCGCGUGUUUCAACACCUCGAACAGGGAGUUCUCAUAUAGAUUUGUGAAGCUAGUUUCUUUGACUUGCUCUUCCUCUUUCUUAUUCCUCCUCAUCUUGUUUGACUUUUUUCAUCCUUUGGUUGUCUUCGGUGGUGACCGAAGAAUCAAGACCCAUACGCUUCAUAAAGUAAAACUAGGAUGAUUUUAUUUUGUUGGGAACUGAGAGUAAUUGUUUUGUUAAGACUGAAAAGGCUGGGUGAUUUGUUUUGUUUCAAUUUAGGGUUUCUUGAAAUGAGUGGGAAGGAUUUGGGAGAGAGGGAAGAUGAAGAGGGAAUACUGCUUUCGUUAAGUGUUGAAUUUAAGAUACCCUAAUUUUAAAAGUAAAACUACGUCGUUUGGAAUAAGAAAAAUUAAAAUUAAAAUUAAAAAUAAAAAUAUAUAUCUUAGUAUCAGUAAGUGUUUAUGAUACUAUAUUAUUCAAAACCACCGGCACUAAUAUGUAAAACACACUAAAAAUUACUUAAGUCAUCAAAUAAUGAUACUUUUUUAUUUAGUAUCAGCAACUUAGUAUCAGUGAAAGUCAUUUUUCUAUUAGUAUUAUCAAUAAAAUUUGCUUCCUCAUCAUCCAUUAUUAACGCCCCACUCAAUUGCUUGUCAAUUACUUCUUGAUCAGCAAGCAAGUUUUCAAAAUUCUCAAUGGUUGGUUGAAUUGGACAACCUUAGAUAGCUGUAACAAAGCUCUUAAGCUCAAGCCUCAAACCAUUGACAAUAAUUUUCUUUAUUCUAGAUUUAGAAAUUGCAGCAGUAGAAUCUAACCUAGAAAUUUCAUGGCAUCGGGAUUUUAACUUGUUUAAGUACUCGUCAAUCGUCAUGUUUCAUUAUAAAAUUGAUAGUAGCUCAUUUUUCAAAAGUUGUAGCCAUAUGUUAUUCUUCUUUGAAAAACUCAUUGUAGAAAUAUCUCAAGUUUUCUUAGGUAUUUUAACCUUUUUUAUGUGUUGCAGCAUUUCUUCUUCAAUUGUAGUCUUGAUGGCGAACAUGGCCUUCCAGCUAUAAUGCUUCACUUCUUUAAAGCGGCAUCCUCAGUUGGUGGUCUCAUAUUGUUACCACAAACAAUCUCCUAGAGAUCUUGACCUUGUAAGCAAGACUCCAUCAAUGUUGCCCACGUAUUGUAAUUUUUCUUGUCGAGCUUUUUAACUCUUCCAACUACUUGAAGGUCAACCAUCAUAUUUCCAAAACUUUAAGAAUGCCAAGCAAGCUUGAUGUUCACUAACGAACUUGCAAAGUUCCAAACAAAGUACUCUAAAUAAAGUACUCCACUUCAAAUUUGAACCCAACAGCCUUUUACUCAAUAGAUUUUGACAAGUCAAUUCCUUUAGAUUAAGAGAAAAGAAUUGAUAGUAUUGUGCCACAGGGAGGAAUCGAUUCCAAAGUCUUUUUUCCACGAUCCAAUCCCUAAGAACAUGCAACAUAUCCUUCAUCGAAAAAACAUAAUGAUCAUAUAUAAUGCCUAUUGGAAUAUGCCUCCUCAUUAGCUUCGUUUUCGUUUUCAAUCUAUCAUUUAAAACCAUGCGGUGGACUGUAAUAAAUAGAUAAUAUUUUUUCCAUUCAUUCCCAUGAAAAGCACAAAUGCUUUGUGGACUGUAAUCAUAAAUUCUGUAACUUCUCAAGGGUGUGUUCUGGCCAGGAUCGGAGGUGAGAGGUGUGAUAUCCACCCAGUUUAUAUGGAGGAGUUUGACAAAACUACAAUCCAAUGGAAUCGCUUUACCACUUAUAAUCUGAAUGGAUCCCCUCAAAUUUUUUUUGCAUCAAAGAUGGUUGUAGCAACAAUGUCAAGGCGAAGCCUUACUGCAUAUGUUGAGGUGAUGAGGCAUUAGAUGACUCUAGAGGGCUGCAAGCUAUGAAAGAAGAAUAUGAUGCCUUGGUUAAGAAUAAUACAUGGACAUUAGUUCCAAGACAAGCUGGUCAUCACGUUGCUGACAAUAAAUGGGUGUAAAGGAUCAAGUAUAACAAAGAUGGAAAUGUAGCUAAGUAUAAAUCCAGGCUUAUUGCUAAAGGAUUUUAGCAAGUGGCAGGGGUGAAUUACUUUAACACAUUCAGUCAAGUGGUUAAAUUAGCUAUUAUUAGAGUGGUACUGAGCCUAGGAGUGAUGAACUAAUGAGAAUUAAAGUGUUGCAAGACGCACAUUGUGUAUAUUUAUCACAAAGAAAAUACAUCAUAGAUCUGUUGUCUAUAGUUGAAAUGGUUGAAUGCAAAGGCAUUGACACCCCCAACAUAGGCGUUAAACCAACAUCAUAUAAACUAGCAUUAAGUUGGAUCAAAUUCAUAUUGUCUUCAAUAAGAUUUGAAAGUAAGUGAAGUUUAACACACCAAUAGUUUUGGUGAUCUGUCUGAAACGUAAUAGACAACACCACUUAUUGAAUUUUAUUUCCUAAAAUACUUCUUAUUUAAUUUAUAAAAUAUAAACUCAUUUAUUAAAAUUAAAUAUCUUCUCAUAAAUAUAGAUAUAAAUUAUGAAAUGAUGUGGGUGUAAAUUAUUUAUUAAAACCUUAAUUUAUUUAAGUGUUUAAUUGAAAUCCCAUUUAAAAUUAAAAAAAAAUUAUUUAUUUAUAGUUAUUCAAGUAGAUUUAAAUAGAAAAUGAGUUUUAUAAGAAAUUUUAAGGGAUGUCAAAAGGCUACUCUUGAAAUAAAUGACCCAAGCCCAUUUGGGCCCACAUAUAAGGAACAAGGUCUUAGUUUAAAGGCCGGAUCGGGGUCGAGCCUCAACUCACGCUUACAUAAAAAGGAAUGAGAAAAAAUUAAAAAUAUAAAUACAUACAUAAAAUUAGUUAAAUCAUUAAUGCGUAUAUUAAAAUUAAAAAUCUGCUUACGUUUAUAGUCAAAAAUCGCUGAAGGUUCUUUGCAUGUUUUCGCUUGUGGGGCUGUGUUCAGAAACUGUGAGGGAGAAUUUCUGGGGGAUUUCUCUUGUCCAUUACAUGUUGAAACGGCUUUUGUUGCUGAACUGUUGGCUGUUAUCUUGGCGAUUGAGCAUGCUUCUUUUGGAUGUUGGACUAUGUCGUGGAUCAAAUGUGAAUCUGCUUUAACUGUGCUUCAUCUUCGUAACAAGCAGCUUCCGCCCAUGGUUUCUUAUUCAUCGAUGGAAUAAUUGUAUUGCUCUCAUGGAUUCCAUGACGUUGCGCUUUUCUCGUGUCUUCAGGGAGGCUGAUGGGGUAGCUGAUUUUUUGCAUGAGGAUGUUUUUAGGCUGCCUAACUAUCUGUUCAGCUAGCUUUUGUAAUUUUAGUUUGGCUGGUUUUCUUGCUAUAUUUUUAUUUUAUUUUUAUAAAACCUCCUCACUUUGGUGAGGAUUCAUAAAAAAAAAAAGGAAAAAACGUUAGAACAACCUAGAUCAAGUAAAUUAUAUCGCAGGGAUUUUCGAAGAAAUUCAAGCAUUGGAAGGAUGAAAAACAAAUAUGUAGAUGAUCGAUCUCACCUUAUAUGGAAUUGUAGGCCAAGUUCAAGGAAGGAAUUUUUGAGAAAUUAUGUUCGAUAAAAUGCCCAAGAAGGAAUGCAUCCCACCUGAUGCGUUGAACAAUGAGACGAUACAUCUGUUGCUACAAUUUAUUCACAUAAGAAAUUCAAUUAAAGCAUUUGAAUGGGAAAUUUUUUUUUUCUCUUGUUGCCAGGAACCAAAACUGUUACCACUUUACUGGUAUACUCCAGGUGUUUUCCGCUGUUUCAAUUUACUUGCUGGUAUUUUAUUUUCAUUUGCUGAAGUACGAUUAUUUAACAGCCAGUUACUUAUUGCAAUAAGAGGCUGUGGAGUCAAUUGCUUGCAUCAUGAGCAUCCCGGGAACUACGAUGUCUGCUUGAGCUUCAGAGGUGAAGACAAGACAUCAUGUUUGCCAACAAUUGGUUUUUCCAAUUUUCUAUGAUGUUGAACCAACAGUGGUAAGGAAACAUAUAGGAAGUUUUCAAGAAGCGAUUGUUAAUCAUGAAGAAGUUCUUAAAGGAGAAUAUAGAAAAGGUGCAAAAAUGGAGAGGCGCUUUGCAAGAGGUGGCUAAUAUCUUUGGCUAGGAAUUGAAAGAUAGGUAAUCAUUCUUAUUCUCAAUGAUUAAUUUUCUAAGAUGUGGAUCAAUAAAUUUUUGUUUGUUCUGCAUGAAUCAUAAUAAGUGAGAAGAUGUCUGGAUUUCUCCGCUAUUAAAAAACUGCCAAUAUUUAUUCAGUAUAUUUAUUUACUAGUUUCAUGUUCAGUGUGUGCAUGUGCAUGUGUAUAUUUGUAUCAACAAUAAGAUUUUACCAAAAUAGCGUUCAUAUUCAUCUCGUUAUUGCAACAACCAACUUGCCUACAAUUUUCCAAUAAACUUUACAUGACAAGAUUUUAUACUAUGUUGUUGGGUGAAUGAUGUGGUAGAGCAGAGGGAUUCUAGAACUUAUCAAGUUUUUAGGCAUAAGAACAGGGAGAGACAGUAGAAUAAAUGUAUAAGAAUUUGUUAAAAUCAUAGGAUUUAAUUGAAAUAAUAACUUGAUCAAUGAAUAUCUACAUACAAAGAGUUAUAGACGAAAUUAGAGAAGAGUUACAUGAAGAAUAACCUAGAGAUUAAUCAAACACUAGUUAUGACUUUAUGACUUCCGUUUUGUAGAUAUAUAUUAUGUAAUUUUUUUGACAUUACGUUACGCUCACACUAGCUUUAGCUCACCAAUACAAAUCUUUUCUUGUUCUAUUUAACCCGCAGGAAUGAAUCGGACUUUAUUAUGGAGAUUGUCAAUGAGAUAUCAAGCAAAAUUCCUUUAAAAUCAGAGACUCUUAAAGAGCUAGUAGGAAUGGAUUCACACUUCGAGAAGCUAACGAUUCUAAUGGAUAAAGGGCCUAAUGAUGUUCGUAUGAUAGGGAUCUGUGAUAUGGGAGGUAUAUGUAAGGCAGCUCUUGCAAAGGUUGUUUAUAACUUGAUCUAUCAUGAAUUUGAAGUAAGCAGUUUUCUUGCCAACGUUAGAUAAAAAGGUUAGCUAGAAAGUUCAGGCAGCAGGAUCAUCAUAACAUCCAGAGAUAAGCAUCGUUGACAACACAUAGAGUGGACGAAUUGUUGGUCCUUAAGCAACUAUACUAUGAUGAAGCUCUUGGACUCCUUUGUAUGACAGCCUUCAAAACCAAUCAGCUAGGGAAAGGAUAUAAGCAACUGUCGAAAAGUGUUGUAAACCACUCAGCUAAGUUGUAAGAACAUUAGCUGAACAACAGCAGCAGAUUGUGGAACGUAACAGAUGUACAUCAUGUGUUGACAAAAAACACGGUAAGUGACAAAGUGCAAUGCAUGUAUUUUGAGUUCAUGAUUCUAAAAGUCAAGAUAUGAAGUAUAAAAUUGCUAUCAUUAUAUAAUGCAAAGUAAAACAUAUUCUGUAACGCAGCCUACAUUUUAUUCAUUUUUUUAUGAUACGCGUACAAAAUGUUUUCCUUUGCCCAAGCUAUCAAUUGCACAAUGUAGGCUUUUAAGGAGAUCCUUUGGUCAUCGUUACAUUGAUCCGAAGGAAACGACUUUGUGCCCUGAGAAAGGUCUGCUCACAUUUGCUUAAUUCAAUCUUUGAUCUUAUCUUCAUGACUAUUCCAGAUUAUUCUUAUCUCUUGCUGAAUCACUCUUAUGAGUCAUCUGACAAGCUUGACUCAUAGAGGCAUUUCAUUGAGCAUAUUGCUCAUUCUAUCAAACAUUUGUUUUGCUCGACAUUCUAUGCUUUAAAUCUAUGCAUAAAUAAUUUUAUGGACAUCUUCACAUCCUAGUCUGCACUUAUCAUCUGCUUUUAUGAUUUUUAAGGAACUGAAGUAGUCGAAUGCAUGGUAUAUGACUUUUCAGGACUUAGGGUUCAUUCUAGGACAUCUUCACAUCCUUUUCAGAACUUAAGGUUAAUUUUUAUGAAAUCUCCAAAAACAUUGAUACUUUCUGGUUGCUCAAAGUUGAAGAAAUUUCCUGAGAUUGUGGGAAAUAUGAAGUUUUUACGGCAGCUUCUUUUGGAUGGAACUGAUAUUAAGGGACUACUAUUAUCAAUUGUACUUUUAUCUGGAAUUGUUCAGUUGAAUUUGAAAGGUUGUAAAAAUAUUGAGUGUCUUCCAAAUUUCAUAAGUGCUCUAAAAUUUCCUUCCACUUUGAAUUUCUCUGGCCUUUUGAAAUUCAGAUUGUUUCCAGAGAUCAUGGGAUGUAUCGAACAUCUGUUGGCGCUUCGAUUGUUAGGAACCGCUAUAAGAGGAUUGCCAAUGUCAAUUGAAUAUCUCUCUAGCAUUUUUUGCAAAAUUUAAAAGGUUGUAAAUAUCUCUUGAGUCUUCCAAUUACUAUAUGUAGAUUAAAAUGUUUAAGAACUCUAACGCUCUCUGGUUGCUCGAAGCUGGAAAAGUUUUGGGGAAGUAUGAAAUCUCUAACUAUGCUCAUUUUAGAUGGAACUGCUAUUCGAGAAUUGCCAUUGUCAGUUGAAAUAUCUAACUGGCCUUGUUUUGUUGAAUUUUAAAGAUUGGCAAAAUCUCGAGUGUCUUCCAAGUCCCAUUAGUGGUUUGAAAUCUCUUAAAAUUCUGAAUCUCUUUGGCUGCUCCAAACUUGAAAAUGUGCCAGAGAACUUGGGGAAAGUAGAUAGCUUGGAAGAGCUUGAUAAUAGUGGAACAGCAAUUAGGCAACUUCCGACGUCUGUUUCUAUCUUGAAGAAUCUUAAAGCAGUGGACCACUAUCAUCUACAUCAUGAGAUUUGUGCAUCCCUACUAAUAUGAUGUGAAUGAGAUCAGAUCCUAUGACUAAUUUGAUGUUACCUUCUCUAUCAGGCUUAUGUUCUUUAACAAAAUGGGAUAUCAGCGACUGUAAUCUACUAGUGGAAGGAGGAGAAAUCUUCACCAACACCCCCAAUUGUAAUAGGAAAAACAACAUCUACACCCCCAGAUUUGAGGAAAUGUUCACUAACACCCCCAAUUUUUUUAAAAAAAGACACCAAAACCCCUUUUUGACCAUUAAUCCUUUAAAAAAUAAAUUUAAAAUUUUUAAUAAAUAGAAAUAUUAUAUAAAUAAUGUAAUCUACGCAAUAGACUAAGAAUAUUAAAAUAGUUUAAUAUUUUAAUACAUUUAAAUAUAUAAAUUGUUAUAUUUAUUUAAUAAUAUAUAUUUAUUUAUUUUAGAUAUUUUAAAUAAAUAUUUGCAUUAAAUAUAUUUUACAAUAAAAAAAUCUCACAUACUAAUGUUAUUAUUAUUUUACAUAAUAUUCAAAAUAAUUUAAAUUUUAAUACACUUGUUUUAAUAUUAUGAUUCUAUUUAUUAUAAAUUUAAUGUUAUAUAAUAAAAUAUAUCUAAUAGAUUGUAAAGUAUUAAAAUAUUUUCUAAGUAUUGAAAUUAUUUUACAAUGUAAAUAUUAUUACAUUUAUUGGAGGAAUUAAAUUUUAUGUUAUAUAAUAAAAUAUAUCUAAUAGAUUGCAAAAUAUUAAAAUAUUUUCUAAGUAUUGAAAUUAUUUUACAAUGUAUAUAUUAUUCAAUUUAUUGGAGGAAUUAAUUAGAAAGCAUGAAAUUCUCUCGUUGAUUUCUUUGAAACAAACAAAAUUGAACUUAUCUUUAGAAAGAGGAAUUAUCUUUUGCAAAGUAAAUUUUCAUCCUCUUUCAGUGCGUCCAACACGCUCAAAGCAUUAAGUUUUCUCGCAGUUUUGUAUUCCAACAUUGCUUCCCAUGAAUGUUUGUCUUAAAUUAUUAUGUAUUAAGUGUUUCUUUUUUUCUUUUUUUUAUAAUCACUCAAUUAGUCAAUAUUAGAGGAGAUUCUGUUAUGUUCUUUGUUGAUUUUGAUUAUUUAUGUACAGUUUUUUUGGUACUUGUUGAAAUGGAACUCAAUGUGAGUACACAUUUUUUUCCCCCAACAACAAAAUAACAAUUGCUUCUUCAACUUCUUCUCUUAUCCAUAUGCUAAAAAAAAAAGAACAUUGAACAAUCCAUUGAAGAAAGAAGGCAUUUAUAUUGUGAUCAAAAGGAGGUUUUCCAUUUGUGAUUUCCUUUCGGCCAUUAACGUGAUCCAACAUUCAAUCAUUCCGCAGCAGGACUCAUGAAGAAAGGUAGGCUCAUGAAUCCUUUUAUUUUCUUUCAAUUUAAGAGGCAUUUACUUAUAAAAAUCCUCUACUUUUCAUCAAAACAAAUAUAUUUGCCUGAUUAGCUUAAGUUCUCUUAAAGCAAAGUACUUCAUUGGAGUUCAUUUACUUACAAAAAUCCUCUCUAUUUAAGAUUUGCUCAGGCACACUCUCCCGUCAGGAUCUGAAAAGUCAAAUUUUCUGAUAUAUUUUGGGAUUUGCGGUAUGAUAUUUUCUUUUCUUUAAAGAAAAGAUAACAUAAAAUUGUGUAAGAUCAAUUAAAGUGGAAAUUUGACUUACACGUAACUAUAACUUAAGUGAUCACAUAAUAGUUGACUUCUUUUUACAAUUUCGACAUGCUAAUUUCUUUUUUGUGUAAUUUUUAUUUUAUUUUAUUUUAUUUUAUUUUUACUAUUAUAUUCUUGACUAUAGUAAGCCGAAAAUUGAUAUUAUAUUUUAAAAAUAAAAAUAAAAAUAUUACUAAUAUAAAUAAACUAAAUAUUUUAUAUUUUAAAAAUAAAUAUAAAUAUAAAUAUAUUACUAAUAUAAAUAAUAUAAAUUUAUUAUUCUUGACUAUUUUAUUUUUACUAUUAUCUGACUUUAUCACCGAGCGCGCAUCUCAAAUUCAAAUGUUAUUUUGCACAUGAUAAUUCAUUUAGAUUCUGUAACAUACGCACCCAAUGCAUGCACCACACCUGUCCUGCAUAUGGAGAAGAAGCAUGCAAUUGUUUUUGUUUGGUAGCUAGCUAACCAAUCAGGAGCUGGCUAAGUUGGAUAUGUAUGUUACAGAAUCUGUAACUUAGCCAGCUCCUUCAUUUACAUUCUAUUUAUUCAAAAAUCUGUUAUAAAUCAGUUAAGGGUUAGUGACGUGUCCACAGGGGUGGCUUUAGGUAUAGGCGAACAAGGCGGUCGCUUAAGGCCCCAUAUUUUGUGAAGGUCUCAUUUUUUGAAUUUUUUUUAAUAAUUCUCAUUUUUUUAAAUUACGUAUUUUAGGAAAUCAAAAAGCUUAUUAACAUCUCUCUAAUUAUUAAUUAUCAUAUAGUUAAGAAUUAUUUUUUAUGAAAAAACUAUAGCGUCAAUCUUUAAUGUGUCCGUUUGUCGGGUAGAGCGAAGAGUUAAGAGAGUGUUUAUUGAGCUCACGCGCUUCCUUGUCAUUUCCUCUCUGAAUUUUUAUGGGUUUAAAUACUUGAACCUCGGAAUUGAGGCUACAAUGUUUAGUGCACAUAUGUUGAAUAUGAAUAUGAUCGAUCUCAGCUUGAUUUGGGCUCAGAACAAACGAUAAAUAGGUUUUCUAGUGGCUAACCUUUUUGAAAAUUUCUAAAUAGAAAUAUACAUGACAGAAUUUGAUUAUUUGUUGUUUCGUGAAUGAUGUGGUAGAACGAAGGACUUGUAGAAUUUCUCGAGUUUUAGACAUAAAACAGAGUCAGGCAAUAGAAUGAAUGAAAAAAAUACCAUCACAUUUGUUGGAAUGAUGCUGUGCUUUAUUCAAAAUUAUUUCUUCCACUAGAGACGCAAUCAAUAAUAGUGUUAAUUCUUGAACCUGUGAAAAGCAAUUAAUUUUCUUCAUUUGUUUACUAGCAAUCUUCCAUAACCAUUGUGCUUGGCUGUGAAAUAGCCCAUUUGUGGCUGAACAUAGAAUCUGUUUUUUGUUUCUUUGUUGCUUUUUGCGAUCUUUGGCUUAAUUUACAAUUCAUGGCAUGUCUGAAAAUGGGUCGAUGAAUAUGUUGUAUAUGGACUCAGAUCUAGAUCAGAUUUAUCCAUGAAACAAUCAAGAGCAUUCAACAUUUGAUUUUUAUUUUUCCUUUCUCCACCCCCAUGUUUAAUUUUGGUCGGAGGACUUGGUUGAUAGGAAUUGACAACUAUUGAUUUUCCUUUUUUUCGUUAAACAACAGACCACAAUGUCAAUUUGAAGACUUUGUUGAUAAGAAUCGACAACUGUUGGUUCUUAUUAUUUGUUUUUGUUUAAUAGAAGAUGCCUUGGAAUUCCGCAUCGUUGACAUGUAGUUGAUAUUUAAAACAUUUUGAUGUUAGAGCUUAGAAUGUUUGCUGUCGGAAUUCUUAUUAAGAAAAUUACUAUGCUGCUUGCAACAUAAUCAAAGUUGUAAGUUUUAUGCCCUGCAGUUCUCUUUAUUUUCAAUUAUGUUUUUGAAUUUUCAGAAUAAAUAUGAAGAAAAAGAUCAUUAAUUUCCAAAGCAGAGAAGAAAAUAUUUUCAGAAUUAUACUACAAUGACUAUAGGGAGAUCCUGAAAAUGAGAUUCUUGAUGUACUUCAAAUAAGUUUUGAUGGGUCAAAAGAAACAGAGAAGAAAAUAUUUCUCGAUCUUGCAUGUUUCUAUGAAGGGAAGUACAGAGAUUAUGUGAAAAAAAUUCUCAAAUAUUGUGAUUUUGACCCAAUUAUCGAAAUUGUUGGUCCUAUUGAAAAAUCUCUAUUAACUGUAGAUGAUUUCAGCGGACUGUGGAUGCAUGAGUAGUUACAAGAAAUGGGGUAGACAAAUUGUUAGGAGGCAAUCCCACCAGGAACCUGGAAACUGCAAUAGAUUGUGGAAAAAAGCCGAUAUAUGCCAUGUAUUAUCACAAAGCACAAGUAAAUGUUCAGUUAGGUUGAAAACUUGCAAUUUUGGGAUCAUGAUCACUUAUUUAACUAGUUAAACCUUUGCAUAGUUUUAUCAAUAUUUUCUUUCUUUCAUUUUUUUUUUUGUUCCCACUUAUUUUUUGUUAUAAUGUUUAGGAAACUGAUGUAGUUGAAGCAUCAUAUUUGAUCGCUUUAACAACAAAGAGAUGCAUGUCAGUGCUAAUGCCUUUUCUAAUAGGACCAAUCAGACUUCACAAGAGUACCAAAUUUAGGGGAGCUGAUUUCUGAAAGAUUUACAAGGUUGCAGGAGAUUCACUCAUUUUUUUCUGCGUCAAAGAAGCUGAGUUUGUUGAAUUUGAAAUGUUGUACAAGUCUUACAACUCUUCCAGGCAAGACCUUUAUGAAAUCUCUUAAGACACUUGUUCUUUCUGGUUGCUUGAAGUUGAAGAAAUUUCCAGACAUUGUGGGAAGUUCUUUCGGAUGGAACUGAUAUUAAANNNNNNNNNNNNNNNNNNNNNNNNNNNNNNNNNNNNNNNNNNNNNNNNNNNNNNNNNNNNNNNNNNNNNNNNNNNNNNNNNNNNNNNNNNNNNNNNNNNNNNNNNNNNNNNNNNNNNNNNNNNNNNNNNNNNNNNNNNNNNNNNNNNNNNNNNNNNNNNNNNNNNNNNNNNNNNNNNNNNNNNNNNNNNNNNNNNNNNNNNNNNNNNNNNNNNNNNNNNNNNNNNNNNNNNNNNNNNNNNNNNNNNNNNNNNNNNNNNNNNNNNNNNNNNNNNNNNNNNNNNNNNNNNNNNNNNNNNNNNNNNNNNNNNNNNNNNNNNNNNNNNNNNNNNNNNNNNNNNNNNNNNNNNNNNNNNNNNNNNNNNNNNNNNNNNNNNNNNNNNNNNNNNNNNNNNNNNNNNNNNNNNNNNNNNNNNNNNNNNNNNNNNNNNNNNNNNNNNNNNNNNNNNNNNNNNNNNNNNNNNNNNNNNNNNNNNNNNNNNNNNNNNNNNNNNNNNNNNNNNNNNNNNNNNNNNNNNNNNNNNNNNNNNNNNNNNNGUUGAAAACUUGCAAUUUUGGGAUCAUGAUCACUUAUUUAACUAGUUAAACCUUUGCAUAGUUUUAUCAAUAUUUUCUUUCUUUCAUUUUUUUUUUUUGGUUCCCACUUAUUUUUUGUUAUAAUGUUUAGGAAACUGAUGUAGUUGAAGCAUCAUAUUUGAUCGCUUUAAUAACAAAGAGAUGCAUGUCAAUGCUAAAGCCUUUUCUAAUAUGACCAAUCAGACUUCACAAGAGUACCAAAUUUAGGGGAGCUGAUUUCUGAAAGAUUUACAAGGUUGCAGGAGAUUCACUCAUUUUUUCUGCUUCAAAGAAGCUGAUUCUGUUGAAUUUGAAAGGUUGUACAAGUCUUUCAACUCUUCCAGGCAAGAUCGCUAUGAAAUCUCUUAAGACACAUGUUCUUUCUGGUUGCUGGAAAUUGAAGGAAUUUCUAGACAUUGUGGGAAGUUCUUUCGGAUGGAACUGAUAUUAAAGAAGUGCCAUUAUCAAUUGAACUUCUAUUUGGACUUGCUCAGUUGACUCUGAAUGGCUGCAAAAAUCUUGAGUGUCUUCCAAGGACCAUAAGUGCUCUAAAAUAUCUAUCAACUUUGAAUCUCUCUAGCCCUUUGAAAUUCAGAGAGCUCCCAGGGAAAACUUCAAGCAGGGAUCAGCUCUUGGAGCUUCAUUUUGGAAGGAACUGCUAUAAGAGGAUUGCCAGCAUCUAUUGAACUUCUUUCUGGCAGUGUCUUGUUGAAUUUGAAAGAUUGUAAAAAUCUCAAGAGUCUUCCAAGUACCAUAAAUGGUUUGAGAUCUCUUAGAACGUUGUAUCUCUCUGGCUACUCCAAACUUAAAAAUGUGCCAGAGACCUUGGGGAAAGUUGAAAGCUUGGAAGUUAGAUUGUCUUGUUAGAAUCAGACCAAAAUGAAGAAUGAUUUUGACUAUGUGGAACAGAGUGCAGUGGAGACAGUAACAAAGUUAGCAAAAGCAGAAUCGCUAAGGUACUUUACAAAAUUAAUAAUUUCCUUUAUAACAUGCAGUACCGUAUUACUUCUAUGUGCAUUCCUAACAUUAUCUUCGACAGAACGAUUCAGAUUCAUGGAAGAAGAAUGUUGAUAAGGGCAUCAAGCUAUCUACAACAGCAAUAUCAGCUUGCUCACUUGCCUGCCAUAGGCUGAUUCAAACCUCAAGAGCCAUGCCGAAGAGUUGAAUCAAAUAACAGCAAAUUCACAUCUUAGGUGGCCUUUUCUUCCAGCUUAGUCACUGCAUCAUUUUUUUAUAGCAGGUUCGUUCUAUAAUAAUCUCAUAGGCACAACAUAUCAUGAACUUUGUUUUAUCAUGCUUGCAUAUUUUGUUUACUUCUGCACAGUGAUAUACACAUUCACUAUCUCUAUUUUGCAUGACUACUAUAAAUUUAAGUAGAAAUUGAUUUUGGAAUAUGCUCUUAUCCUUUAUUAAUCAUAUAAAAAGUUUAUACGUCAGGGUAUAUGACUAUUUACAGCUGUCUUGCAGAUGGAUUCGUAACCUUACUAAGUAAUAUUAUCAACAAUUUUUGGAUUUGCUGAUUUUAGAGCCUGGUCUUAGAAUCCAUAAUGCAUUGACAAAUACAGAAAUGAUCAAAUUACUAGACUCAGUAGUUGCUAUUUAUGUUAUUAUUGAAGGAUGAUUCAAAUUCUUUAUGUAUGUUAGUUUUUUUUUGGGCGGGAAAUUUAAGUUUUAUCUUAGUUGACUCUAUUGACCACUGCUUGUAUCAAAAAAAUCUGAAUACUGGUCGUACGAGUACUAGAUAAUAGACCUCAGGCCAUGAGAGGAGAGACCAAAAUCGAGUCAGAUCGAAGGCUUGAUCAAAGGCCAACACGUAGUUUGUCUCCAAGAAACUCGGGCACAAAGCCCAUUCAGCGGCAGUUACAUUGUCCAUUGACCCAUGAUUUCAAAGACGCAGCACGCACCUUUUCACUUCCAAGCCAACAGUAAUCGUGGGGAAGAUGGAGUCGAUGGUUCAGGUUGGGUAUAAAAGCUACGGAGAAUGGAGAUAAAAAGAGCUGGACAAUUUUAUUUUUUUUUAAUUUCCAUAUUUUCUCUCUCUUUGACUUUUUCUCUCUCGAUAAUUCUCUCUAUUUAUUUUUCUUCGUUUUGAGAAUUAAGAUUUCUAACUUUCAAUUGAUAUAUAAUUAAGCCAUUAGUUUGUGAUACAAGUUGUUCUAAAAGAGACCCAAUUACUGACUUGAGCGUUGGAGAAUUUUCGCCAAAAAAUUUUUGGUGCCCCUCUAAUUGGAUAUUGUGAGUAGGUGAAAGAUUUUCGCGAAAAAAAAUUUAGUGCCCCUCUAAUUGGAUAUCAUACAACUUAAUUUUUAAGAUAUAAUAGUUAAUACUCAUUAAACACUUUAGUAUUAUAGUUUAAAAACUACAAUUUCCCAAGCUCAAUUCCAAAUAAAGCCUUAAGUAGAAGAUUAAGUAAAAAUUUGACGAUCUUUAUUGCUUCCGAUAAAGCCUAAAAAUGCCAGUUAAUUUUCUUACAUUUUUUCAUUUCAAAUAAAAGUAAAAUGCCCAAUGUAUUAAAAUUUGUCAGAAUUUUAUGCUAAAAAUCAUUAGGAGAAAAAUGAUUAUUUUAGCCAUUUUGAGUCCUCCGACAGAUUUUGAGGGAGAUUGGUUAUGCCCAAUCGACUUUUUUGUUGACUGAACUUGAUUGACCUCUGUAUGCGACCUCAUGUAGGUCCGUCCGCUGAAAUACGGGUUACGUGUUCUUUAAUGGAUCAACUCGACCCGUAUUUGACCCGAUAUUGACCCGCGUUUGGUUGGACCGUAGGAUGUAUGUGACGUGUCUUGUUGGCCGUUGAUCCGCCUUGUGUGAGGGUACUGGAUGGUUGACGUUGUAUCUGGACCAUUAUUUUGAUCAUAUUGAACGCGGUCCAAGGGUUCUGAAGCUGUCACGUACUCUGCUACUUCAAACCCUUGAUUUAAUUCAAUUUGGUGGAUCCAACGGCCAUUUUCCGCAUCUCUUUAAAAUGUUAAAGCAUCAUUUUAAGCUCUACAGGCCGUCGAUUUCGAGCGAGCUUACAAGUGGUAAGGCCAAAAAAUUUAUCUUGGGGAAGAAUUUAAUGAGUGACUUCUUAUUUUUAUGUCCUUAAAAUUUAUUUUUAAACCCUAGAUUUUGGAGAAAUACUUUUCUUAAGGGCUGGAAGCAAAUGUUUUAGAUUGGAAUUUUAAUGAGUGCAAAGACAUCAAAAAUCAAAUUAGCAUUUAUUUUCUUGUCUUGUCUUUAGCUCCAUCAAGUUCGUUGAUGCAUGGUCUUUGAAUUUGAAGGUGUUAAAUCCAAAACGGAUUCUCUCACAUCCAAUAUAAUUUUACUCUUAAAUUUAUCUAGUGAGCAGAUUUUUAUGCUUGAUUCACGUAGAAAAAAAAUUGUGAGGACUGUGAGGAUUUUUUUUUUAAUUAAAAACCGCCUUAAGAUGGGGUGUGGGUUUAGGCAGGACCCCUUCAUUAGUAAAUUAAUAAAAGAAAAGAAAAUUCAUAUGGAGAGAGAUAUAUGCCAAAACCUCGAAGCAUGGGAACAAAUACAUCCAAUAACUAGAAAAAUAACAAAAGCAAUAGAAGAUAGGACUAAUUAAUGCAACCAUCUAGAGAAUCGCUUCCAAUUCCUGCGGCUAGUAACCAAUGUGAAACCUUUCUUAGAAUUGGAGGCACGCGGUCCGGCAAUACGAAAGUCAUCAAGAUCACGCCCUCUAGUACCCUUAGGCUCAAAUGCAAAAUAUUCAUUAGUCACAGGAUUCCCAUCAGAGCUAAACUUCUCAUCAAAUUGAAAAAAAGGAUAUCUGUAGAAUGGGGAUUGAAGCCCACGAUCAUGGAGCGAAUAUCCUCUUCAGUAGCUCAAAAAAAAGUAGCAUCGAUGGAAGCCCUCUAAACACCUGGAUCAUCUAAAAAAGGAGGGUUAGAGACCUCAGUGCAUCCAGUAGCAUCUCUUAAAGCAGUAGGAUUCUUCAAACCAUCAUCAGUUUGAACUCUUUUCAUAAAAUCCAGAUCAAACUCAUCUUCUGCAGUAUCCUGAUAAAUAGGUGACUAAGCAUCUAGAAGAGCACCCUCACUACCAUUCGACCUCAAUGGCUCAACCUCUUUGCCAUCCCGUUUGGAUGCACAGCAGCAUUAGACAUCAGCAUCUUGCCUUUAUCAUGAAGAACAUUAUCCUCUGCUGUAUGGCCAAGGCGGAUGUACGGUACAGCAGAAAGUUUGGAAAAACUUGAUAUAAGUGAUUAACAACAACAGUAGCAUGGUCCACCCAUCGAGGCUUACCAAUAGCAUUAGCAAUAGAAAAUAAGACAUCUUUGCAAUGAAUAAAAUGCACUUGCAAAUACGGCAAAGAAACUCAAAUAAGAAGAAUAGGAGAUUCCUCAAAGCACCAAAAUGAAGUCUAUGAGACUACGCUACAUGAGACUCAAACACAAAGGCCUAAUUCUUGGUAAGGCUGCCCACCUAAAUCCACUUGGAAAAUGUUCAAACAUACUUUUGAUAAUGUAUUUUAGUCUGUGAGGGUUGACACAAUAGAAUUUGGAUUCGAGAUGUUUACGGUUGCGAAGCUUCUGUAAGUGUUCUUGGUCCAUUGUAAACUCACAUUAUUUUCAUAGUGAAUUGUUUCGUCUACAAGUGGACAUAAUAACAUGUCGAGAUUUUUAUCCUAAAUCGUGAGGAUCAAAGGUUUUCUUGUAAAAAUAUCUCUGUGUUGUGGAUGUCCAUUUAUUUUGCAUAUUUAUUUUCAUUACCAUAAAUUGAUUUUUAAAUUUAUUCAUAGUGUUUUUAUAUUAAAUUAUCUUUAUUAACUAGGAAAUAAAAUCAUUAAUUUUAAAGAGAUUAUUAUUAUUAUUAAUUAUAUAAAGAUAAUAAAAUAAAAAAUAAAACUAAUAAUAUAAAAUAUUUACUUUAGUUAUCAAUUAUUAUAUAUGCACACAAUAAAAAAUAUUUUAUAUACAUAUAUUAUAAAUAUGAAAAUAAAUUUAAUUCAAAACUAUGUCCAAUUUAAUCAUUUACAUUCUUGUCAUUUACAGUCUUAUUACAAUUUAAUAAUAAGAUUUACCAAAUACAUAGAUUGUUUUUAAAACUCACAGAACUUUUUAAAAUUGUUAAUAAUAUCAAACGUUCAAUUAAUUACUUUUAUAGUUGAUAAUUUUUAUAAUACAAUUAACCAGUAAUUAUUUUAAAAACUAUAAUAUUAACAAAAUGAUCCAACAUCUUUUAAGGACCCAACUGAAAUUUAACUAAUAAAAAUUUACCAUUACUAUAGAUUACCGGUAGUUUUAACUAUUUUUAAUUAAUUAUUAAUAUCAACUGUUGGAUUCCAUUCCAUUUUAAUGGAAUCCAAUGGUUUCAACAUGGGUGAUGGGCAGAGUGGCAUGGACGCGUAAUCAAUUGAAAAGCCAGAUAUUCUUGGCUUAGAUUCCUUGAAGCUUCGAGCAAGCUUGAUGCUAAAUUGCUAACUCCAUCGUGUUGAGUAAACAGUGACAAAUUCUAUCACUUAUUAAGAAAGUCGCCGUUUGACCAAGACUUGCUUUUGGAAACACACACAUUGCAACGCAACUGAGGCGCUGGAAACCGUGUAAUCGCUUUAAUUUUCCAAAUUAAACAAAAAAACCUACGCCUUCCCUUGAAAGAUAGGUGCGCACGUAAAAUUCUAUCAUGUCGUAAUUAAUUGCGACAUUAAUAAGUAAUGAAUAUAAUUUUUUAUAAUUUAUACAUACAACCAGUACAUAAAAAGUAAAAUAAAUAAAUUAAUAUAAGUGUGGUUAAUUGAUAUUUUAAAAUGAAAAAUAAAAAAUACUUGUAAAAAUAAUAUAAAACUUAUAAAUCAACGUUAAACUUUAACUAGACUAGAAAAUAGUUUAUUAACUUUAACUAGACUAGAAAAUAGUUUAUUUACUUAAUUUAAUUAAGCAAAAAAAUUGCUAAUUAAGAAAAAAAUCGCUCUUUAAUUGAAAAAAAAAUUGUAUUAAAACAAUUAGAAUAAAUUUUAUUGAAUUGGUUUAACCAUGAAUUCUAUAUUUAUCCUAGGACAUUUAUUAUUUUUUUUCAUUUUCUAUCAUAAUAUUUGUUUACUACACAAGUUACUUAAGCAAAAUUAUUAUUAUUUUUUUAAUGUGGAUCAAGCCAAAACAAAAUAAAAGUUAUUUUUAUAUUACUACAAAUAUAUGAUAUAUCAAUAAAAUUAUAUCUAAUUUUCAGUUUUAUGCAUAAUUUAUAUAGUUUCAAACUUUACUUCUUUUACUUAAAGAUCAUUCGGGAUUACUGUCUAAGAGGUUUAUAGAGGGAUGCAAAAUUACCUUAUCUUACAAAUAACUUUAAAAAACAUAAAAAGAGUUUUAUUCUUAAUAAAAUUUUACAUAUAUCGUAUUACAUAAGCUCAAAACUAUCAUGAUUCGAUUUAGAAACAAAAUCAAUUAAAUACAUAAGGUAGUCAUUAUUAUCAUUAUAUUAAUUUAUUUAUUUUACUUUCUAUUGAGAAGCUUUAUAUUCUUAUUACAUAAUUUAUGUUUUAUUUUAUAUUUAAUGUUGAUUUAUAAGUUUUAUAUUACAUUUAUAUGUUUUAUCUAGAUAAUUAAUAUUAAUUAUAAUAUGCACAAAUAUGUUUCACUGAUUCUGCUGUACGGCCAAGGCGGAUGUACGGUACAGCAGUCUUUCAACUGACAGUAUUAGUUAUUGAUCAGGCUAUGCAGUUUAAGUUGAAAUUCCUAGGCCAACCCACAUUUUACAAAGACCAUCAUCCCCUAUACAAAAUGAUUUAAUCAAGAAGAUAGUACCAUAUUACCCAUCCUCACAAUUCAAAUUACUAGUAAUUUUUCGCAUACCUAUCAACUUGACUAUCUUAUCAAUUGAAGGUAUGUGCUUGAGUCCAAAUUGAUAGCAAUGUAAUCAGCAAGACAAGAGAAGUGUAAUAAGUAGCUUGGAGAUAAGCAAAUUUAAACCCAAGCAUGCAGCCCAUAAUCUUGAAUGAAUCUUAUUGUUUGCAUGGUAUUUUACGCUCACUGGAUUUCACUUGAUUUAUUCUAAAUUUUUAGGAACAAAUUAAUAUAAUGGCUUCCACAAGCUUUCAAAAUGUCUCUCAUGAGGAAUACGAUGCCUUCUUAAGCUUUAGAGGAGAAGACACUCGUAAAAGGUUCAUAGGUCAUCUCUAUACUGCUUUGAACAAUAAAGGAAUUUAUGUAUUCAGGGAUGACAAACAACUUGAGAAAGGAGGAUCCAUUUCACCAAAUCUCCUUAAAGCAAUUGAAGAAUCGAGAAUUUCAAUUAUUGUUCUCUCAAAAAAUUACGCUUCUUCCACUUGGUGCUUGGAUGAACUUCUUAAGAUUGUUGAAUGCAAAAAUAGAGAGGAUCAAAUUUUUCCAAUUUUUUAUGAAGUGGAACCAACUGUUGUAAGAAAACAAACAGCAAGUUUCGGAGAAGCUUUUGCUAAACAUGAAGAAUUUUUCAGGGAUAAUAUAGAAAAAGUGCAAAAGUGGAGACACGCUUUAAAGGUGGUGGCCAAUAUAUCAGGCUGGGAAUUGAAGGAUAGGUAGUCAUUCUUUUUCUCAACUAUUAAUUUUGUUUGUCUUGCAAGAUUAGUAACUACAAAACAGAUUUUAAUAUUCAUUCAACACUGUUUUCAAUUAAACAACUUCUAUUUAAUACAUAUGCAUAUUGUAUGAUGUGUAGUAAAAGGGUUCCUCCCGUGAAUUGAAUAUAUUUAAAUUAUACCUUCACUUUUGAAAACUUCAAUUUACCUCCCAUUUUUGUUAAGAAUACAAAAACAUUGCAUCAACUCACCCCAUUUUUCCUUCUCUUUUGAAAAAAAAUAGGGUAAUUGAGGUGUUCAAAAGGGAGUGAUUUGAAGAUAUUCAAAUCACGAGGAGAAUAAUCUACUGCUGUACGGCCAAGGCGGAUGUACGGUACAGCAGAUUUUUUUUCAAUUUUGAGUUAAUCAUAUUAAAAUAAAAACCAAGCUUAGGCAUCUCAAUAUAAUGAUUUAUAAUUUUAGACCAAAUUUAUUUACUGGAUUAAUCUAUCCCCGUCCUUGCUUGCAAACUGCUCUGUUUUGUGUCAUUUUCUAUUUAUUUUAAUAUAACAAUGGCAAUAAUCGCAAUACGAAUGAUAUCAAUAUCAUUACAUAUUUAGUUAAUCUAAUUGAUUUAAAUUGUCUUUUAAACUAACUCAUCCUGUUGUCGAAAGAAAUAAUAUAUAAAUUUUGAAAUUACCAAUCACAAUGCAACCCAGUCCAAUCCAAUUUUUAUUGGGUUGGGUUUGAAUUUCUCAUUCCAAUUGUUGUUGACUGAUGUAAUAAUAUCAUAUUAUUUAAUUAUAUGACUGCAAUUUGAUGAAAUGAAUAUUGCAUAGUUUGGAUUUUAUUCAUAAUAUGGAAUUGAUUUGUUACUACGUUCAUACUAACUUUGAUUUAACAAUACCAAUCUUUUCUUGUUGUUUUCAAUAUGCAGGAAUGAGUCAGAAUUUAUUGAGGAAAUUGUCAAUGUCAUAUCUAGUAAAAUUCGUUCAGAACCAGAGAUUCUUAAGGAGCUAGUAGGAAUGGAAUCACGCUUGGAGAAACUGAGGUUUCUUAUGGGUACGGGGUCUAAUGAUGUUCGUAUGAUCGGGAUAUGGGGUAUGGGAGGUCUAGGAAAGACAACUCUUGCAAGGGUUGUUUAUGACUUGAUGUCUCAUGAGUUUGAUGGGAGUAGUUUUAUUGCCGAUGUUAGAGAAAAAUUUGAAAAAGAAGGCAGUGAAAUCUCUUUACAAAAGCAGCUCCUUUCUGAUUUACUGAAGCUUUCAGAUUAUAGCAUACAGAAUGUCUACGAUGGUAUUAACAUAAUUGGAAGCAGGCUGCAACGGAAAAAAGUUCUUCUCAUAAUUGAUGAUGUGGCUGAUGUUGAACAAUUACAAAGGUUAGUUGGAAGGCGUGAUUGGUUCGGUCCAGGCAGCAAGAUUCUAAUAACAACGAGAGAUAGACAAUUGUUGGUGGCACAUGAAGUGGAUGAAGAGCAUAUUCUUGACCUUGAUGUACUAAAUAACGAUGAAGCUCUUCAACUCUUUAGUAUGAAAGCUUUUAAAAGCCAUCAGCCUAUGGGAGAAUAUGUGGAGCUGUCUAAACGUGUUCUGGAGUAUGCUGGUGGUCUUCCAUUAGCUCUAAAAGUUUUGGGAUCCUUUCUAAUUGGUAGAUCUGCAGAUCUAUGGAGAAGUGCCCUAGAAAGACUAAAAAAAGAUCCUUCAAAUAAGAUUAUGAGUAUACUUCAAAUAAGUUUUGAAGGACUACAAGAUUCAGAGAAGAAAAUAUUUCUCGAUGUUGCAUGUUUCU
RNAcentral lists this long non-coding RNA (37573 nucleotides) under Citrus sinensis (sweet orange). Its description in RNAcentral is "long non-coding RNA (CSIN_LNC002178)". The record is from RNAcentral. Lineage: Eukaryota; Viridiplantae; Streptophyta; Magnoliopsida; Sapindales; Rutaceae.